UCAGGCCUAACACAUGCAAGUCGAGCGGACCCUUCGGGGUCAGCGGCGGACGGGUGAGUAACACGUGGGCAAUCUGCCUGUCAGACUGGAAUAACGCCUGGAAACGGGUGCUAAUGCCAGAUAGGCAGCGAGGAGGCAUCUUCUUGCUGGGAAAGGCGCAACAGUGCCACUGACAGAGGAGCCCGCGGCGCAUUAGCUCGUUGGUGGGGUAAAGGCCUACCAAGGCGACGAUGCGUAGCCGACCUGAGAGGGUGAGCGGCCACACUGGGACUGAGACACGGCCCAGACUCCUACGGGAGGCAGCAGUAGGGAAUCUUCCGCAAUGGGCGCAAGCCUGACGGAGCAACGCCGCGUGAGUGAGGAAGGCCUUCGGGUUGUAAAACUCAGUCACCUGGGAAGAGCGGUAUGAGGAGUGGAACGCCUCAAACGAGACGGUACCAGGGGAGGAAGCCCCGGCUAACUACGUGCCAGCAGCCGCGGUAAUACGUAGGGGGCAAGCGUUGUCCGGAAUCACUGGGCGUAAAGCGUGCGUAGGCGGUUUUUCAAGUCUGGGGUGAAAACUCAAGGCUCAACCUUGAGAAUGCCUUGGAAACUGGGGAACUUGAGUACUGGAGAGGCAAGGGGAAUUCCACGUGUAGCGGUGAAAUGCGUAGAGAUGUGGAGGAAUACCAGUGGCGAAGGCGCCUUGCUGGACAGUGACUGACGCUGAGGCACGAAAGCGUGGGGAGCAAACAGGAUUAGAUACCCUGGUAGUCCACGCCGUAAACGAUGAGUGCUAGGUGUUGGGGGUUCAUCCCCUCAGUGCCGAAGGAAACCCAAUAAGCACUCCGCCUGGGGAGUACGGUCGCAAGACUGAAACUCAAAGGAAUUGACGGGGGCCCGCACAAGCAGUGGAGCAUGUGGUUUAAUUCGAAGCAACGCGAAGAACCUUACCAGGGCUUGACAUCCCUCUGACCGGUACAGAGAUGUACCUUCCCUUCGGGGCAGGGGAGACAGGUGGUGCAUGGUUGUCGUCAGCUCGUGUCGUGAGAUGUUGGGUUAAGUCCCGCAACGAGCGCAACCCUUGACCUGUGUUACCAGCACGUGAUGGUGGGGACUCACAGGUGACUGCCGGCGUAAGUCGGAGGAAGGUGGGGAUGACGUCAAAUCAUCAUGCCCUUUAUGUCCUGGGCUACACACGUGCUACAAUGGGC
RNAcentral lists this ribosomal RNA (1193 nucleotides) under uncultured bacterium. RNAcentral describes it as "bacterial SSU rRNA". It matches the Rfam family "Bacterial small subunit ribosomal RNA", at positions 42 to 1235 of the family's 1533-position model. The record is from RNAcentral.